AAAUUGAAGAGUUUGAUCAUGGCUCAGAUUGAACGCUGGCGGCAGGCCUAACACAUGCAAGUCGAGCGGUAGCACAGAGAGCUUGCUCUCGGGUGACGAGCGGCGGACGGGUGAGUAAUGUCUGGGAAACUGCCUGAUGGAGGGGGAUAACUACUGGAAACGGUAGCUAAUACCGCAUAAUGUCGCAAGACCAAAGUGGGGGACCUUCGGGCCUCAUGCCAUCAGAUGUGCCCAGAUGGGAUUAGCUAGUAGGUGGGGUAACGGCUCACCUAGGCGACGAUCCCUAGCUGGUCUGAGAGGAUGACCAGCCACACUGGAACUGAGACACGGUCCAGACUCCUACGGGAGGCAGCAGUGGGGAAUAUUGCACAAUGGGCGCAAGCCUGAUGCAGCCAUGCCGCGUGUGUGAAGAAGGCCUUCGGGUUGUAAAGCACUUUCAGCGGGGAGGAAGGCGUUAAGGUUAAUAACCUUGUCGAUUGACGUUACCCGCAGAAGAAGCACCGGCUAACUCCGUGCCAGCAGCCGCGGUAAUACGGAGGGUGCAAGCGUUAAUCGGAAUUACUGGGCGUAAAGCGCACGCAGGCGGUCUGUCAAGUCGGAUGUGAAAUCCCCGGGCUCAACCUGGGAACUGCAUUCGAAACUGGCAGGCUAGAGUCUUGUAGAGGGGGGUAGAAUUCCAGGUGUAGCGGUGAAAUGCGUAGAGAUCUGGAGGAAUACCGGUGGCGAAGGCGGCCCCCUGGACAAAGACUGACGCUCAGGUGCGAAAGCGUGGGGAGCAAACAGGAUUAGAUACCCUGGUAGUCCACGCCGUAAACGAUGUCGAUUUGGAGGUUGUGCCCUUGAGGCGUGGCUUCCGGAGCUAACGCGUUAAAUCGACCGCCUGGGGAGUACGGCCGCAAGGUUAAAACUCAAAUGAAUUGACGGGGGCCCGCACAAGCGGUGGAGCAUGUGGUUUAAUUCGAUGCAACGCGAAGAACCUUACCUGGUCUUGACAUCCACAGAACUUUCCAGAGAUGGAUUGGUGCCUUCGGGAACUGUGAGACAGGUGCUGCAUGGCUGUCGUCAGCUCGUGUUGUGAAAUGUUGGGUUAAGUCCCGCAACGAGCGCAACCCUUAUCCUUUGUUGCCAGCGGUUAGGCCGGGAACUCAAAGGAGACUGCCAGUGAUAAACUGGAGGAAGGUGGGGAUGACGUCAAGUCAUCAUGGCCCUUACGACCAGGGCUACACACGUGCUACAAUGGCAUAUACAAAGAGAAGCGACCUCGCGAGAGCAAGCGGACCUCAUAAAGUAUGUCGUAGUCCGGAUUGGAGUCUGCAACUCGACUCCAUGAAGUCGGAAUCGCUAGUAAUCGUAGAUCAGAAUGCUACGGUGAAUACGUUCCCGGGCCUUGUACACACCGCCCGUCACACCAUGGGAGUGGGUUGCAAAAGAAGUAGGUAGCUUAACCUUCGGGAGGGCGCUUACCACUUUGUGAUUCAUGACUGGGGUGAAGUCGUAACAAGGUAACCGUAGGGGAACCUGCGGUUGGAUCACCUCCUUACCUUAAAGAA
RNAcentral lists this ribosomal RNA (1550 nucleotides) under Klebsiella pneumoniae. RNAcentral's name for it is "bacterial SSU rRNA". It matches the Rfam family "Bacterial small subunit ribosomal RNA". RNAcentral also lists the same sequence under 1 other name. The record is from RNAcentral. Lineage: Bacteria; Pseudomonadati; Pseudomonadota; Gammaproteobacteria; Enterobacterales; Enterobacteriaceae.